RNAcentral lists this long non-coding RNA (2141 nucleotides) under Homo sapiens (human). Its description in RNAcentral is "non-protein coding lnc-BRD1-22:1". Lineage: Eukaryota; Metazoa; Chordata; Mammalia; Primates; Hominidae. The record is from RNAcentral.
CAGACUGCGGGCAUCCUGGAACACCGGCCAGUUUUCACCUGUUUCUGGACGUUGUGUCGUGGAGCCGUCUUUGUAAGGGACUCGGAUCACGCGUUUUCUUUGCUGAGUCGCCUUCCACGUGGCUUUGUCUGUUCUGUGGUUGGGGCGUCUCCUCCCUCCCACACGGGGUGUGCUGUGCCACCCUUGGAGGGCCUUCUCCCAUCGGGCCCCGCAUCUCCCGCCUGGCCUGUGGAGUGGAGUCCCCUGCCCUUGCUGCUGCUGUGGCCUCAUCUCCCAACUCAGCCUUGGCCUCCAGUGACAGGGCUGGAACCCUGGCAGCAGAGCCACCACGGCAGCGACUCAGCUGUGGCCUCCGGUGACAGGGCCGGGACCCCAGCAGGACCUCCACCAUGGUGGCAAGGCCUGGACCCCAGUGUGGGAUCACGCUUCUGCAGCUGUCCCUGAUGAAGUUGCCUGGGCACACCAGAGUGUGGGAGAGUGGACGGCGCGGCCCCUCCUGCACUUGGAGCUGCUCUCAGAUCUUGGGCUGUGACCCCUGUGGGUGACACGAAGUUCAGUGAUUGUCCUCCUUCUGGACUGAGGGACAUCCAUCCACACGCGCCCCCUCCACAGCCCGAUCCCAUCACGUCCUGCUCGUCCAACAUGGGCCUUAGAUCCUGGGGUCUCUGCUGAGUGCCUCCCCUCUGAACGCCCGGCUGGCACUUUCACGGUGAAGCCAGCUGUCAUGGACACCGACGGCAGGUGGCCUUUCUGCGUUGUCUACCGGCUGAUCUUGAAAGUGAAAACGGACAUUGUCUGCCCUGUGGUGACCGUGUUGGGUGAUGGUCCUGGGGUCAGGCCCUGCAUGCACCUUCACCCAGGGAUGGCUUCUUAGCUGACAGCGGCUCUGCCAGGAACCACGAUCACCCUCCAGUUUGCUCUUUGUGCUGAAUUUUAUUGACAUGAAAUUCGCAUGACGCCAACUUUAUCGUUUUAAAGUGAAUGGUUAAACAGAAUGCGGCACUUUCACAGGGCGGCAUGACCCCCACCUCUGUCUGCCUUCAGAACAUUUUCAUCCCCCACGAAAGGAGGAAGCGCAGUCCCCAGGAACAGUUACUCCUCAUUUCCCCUCCCCAGCUCUGGCUUCCGCAACCACGAAUCUGCUUUCUGUCUCCGUGAAUUUGCCUCUUUCGGAUAUAUUUCACGUAAAUGGAGUCCCGUGAUAGAUGAGCUGUGUCUGCCUCUUGCGGGCAGCACAGUGUCUGGAAGGUUCUCCGUGCAGCCGCAGGGGUUGGCGCUUCCUUCCUCCCGAGGCUGACCCGGCCCCGUCGUACGGGGAGUCCACUGUGUGUCUGUCUUUUGGCUGCUGUGAGCCUGGGUGUGCCGCCUGCUCCAGCCCAUGUUUUCAGCUCUUUCAGGUGUGGAGGGAGGAGUGGAAUUGUGGGAUCAUAUUGUAACUUUAACUUUGGAAGGAUCUGCCAAAUUACCCCUCUAAUUUGUUUUCAAUUUUAUUCUUAUUUCCCUGUCACUUGUUCUUUCUUUUGACUGGUUAAAAAAAAUGGCAAAGGUCUUCAGCAAAACAAGAAGUGAGUUUCAAUUGAACCGUGAAUUAAAUAUGAUACACUCAAAAUCUGACCAAUAAUACAUUUUAAUUUUCCCCACACAUUUACGUCCACGUUAAUUUCAUGGAAAUCAAGAUGCUUUUGCCUCUGUUCUAAAGUAUUUAUUUUUUUUAAGACAGGUUCUUACUCUGUUGCCCAGGCUGGAGUGCAAUGGCGCGAUCUCAGCUCACUGCAGUCUUGACCUCCCAGGCUCAAGCAAUCCUCCUGCCUCAGCCUCCUGAGUAGCUGGGACCACAGGUGUGCAUCACCAUGCCUGGCUAAUUUGUUACAUUUUUAGUAGAGACGGGGUUUCACCAUGUUGGCCAGGCUGGUCUGGAACUCCUGACCUGAAGCGAUCCUCCCACCUCAGCCUCCCACAGUGCUGGGAUUACAGGCGUGAGCCACCACGUGCAGCCUGAAAGUAUUUUUUUUUAGAGUUUCCUAAAAGUUUCAUCAUCCCUUUUGUUUUCCUAACAAGCUGUGAAACCCAGUGGGUUUUAAUUGUGAAUCAGCACCAAAACACAUGCAGAUUUAAUUUUUAAUUGAAAUGAUGGACAAUAA